AAGUGGUAGCAAUACCAUGAGUAAAGUGGCGCACGGGUGAGUAACACGUGACUAACCUACCCUGGAGUGGGGGAUAACUGAGGGAAACCUUAGCUAAUACCGCAUAAUACCCACGGGUCAAAGGAGCAAUUCGCUUUGGGAGGGGGUCGGGCCGAUUAGUUAGUUGGCGGGGUAACGGCCCACCAAGACGAUGAUCGGUAUCCGGCCUGAGAGGGCGCACGGACACACUGGAACUGAAACACGGUCCAGACUCCUACGGGAGGCAGCAGUGGGGAAUUUUGCGCAAUGGGGGAAACCCUGACGCAGCAACGCCGCGUGGAGGAUGAAGUCCUUCGGG
Molecule: ribosomal RNA, 337 nt
Filed under: uncultured bacterium
Lineage: Bacteria
Description: bacterial SSU rRNA
Rfam family: Bacterial small subunit ribosomal RNA
Source: RNAcentral